GAUGAACGCUGGCGGCGUGCCUAAUACAUGCAAGUCGAGCGAACAGACGAGGAGCUUGCUCCUCUGACGUUAGCGGCGGACGGGUGAGUAACACGUGGAUAACCUACCUAUAAGACUGGGAUAACUUCGGGAAACCGGAGCUAAUACCGGAUAAUAUAUUGAACCGCAUGGAUCAAUAGUGAAAGACGGUUUUGCUGUCACUUAUAGAUGGAUCCGCGCCGCAUUAGCUAGUUGGUAAGGGAACGGCUUACCAAGGCAACGAUGCGUAGCCGACCUGAGAGGGUGAUCGGCCACACUGGAACUGAGACACGGUCCAGACUCCUACGGGAGGCAGCAGUAGGGAAUCUUCCGCAAUGGGCGAAAGCCUGACGGAGCAACGCCGCGUGAGUGAUGAAGGUCUUCGGAUCGUAAAACUCUGUUAUUAGGGAAGAACAAAUGUGUAAGUAACUAUGCACGUCUUGACGGUACCUAAUCAGAAAGCCACGGCUAACUACGUG
Molecule: ribosomal RNA, 497 nt
Filed under: uncultured bacterium
Lineage: Bacteria
Description: partial 16S ribosomal RNA
Rfam family: Bacterial small subunit ribosomal RNA
Source: RNAcentral